AAUCCUGGCUCAGAUUGAACGCUGGCGGCAGGCCUAACACAUGCAAGUCGAACGGUAACAGGAAGCAGCUUGCUGCUUUGCUGACGAGUGGCGGACGGGUGAGUAAUGUCUGGGAAACUGCCUGAUGGAGGGGGAUAACUACUGGAAACGGUAGCUAAUACCGCAUAACGUCGCAAGACCAAAGAGAGGGGACCUUCGGGCCUCUUGCCAUCGGAUGUGCCCAGAUGGGAUUAGCUAGUAGGG
Molecule: ribosomal RNA, 243 nt
Filed under: uncultured bacterium
Lineage: Bacteria
Description: partial 16S ribosomal RNA
Rfam family: Bacterial small subunit ribosomal RNA
Source: RNAcentral